GAUGAACGCUGGCGGCGUGCCUAAUACAUGCAAGUCGAGCGAACAGACGAGGAGCUUGCUCCUCUGACGUUAGCGGCGGACGGGUGAGUAACACGUGGUUAACCUAACUAUAAGACUGGGAUAACUUCGGGAAACCGGAGCUAAUACCGGAUAACAUGUUGAACCGCAUGGUUCAACAGUGAAAGACGGUCUUGCUGUCACUUAUAGAUGGAUCAGCGCCGCAUUAGCAAGUUGGUAAGGUAACGGCUUACCAAGGCAACGAUGCGUAGCCGACCUGAGAGGGUGAUCGGCCACACUGGAACUGAGACACGGUCCAGACUCCUACGGGAGGAAGCAGUAGGGAAUCUUCCGCAAUGGGCGAAAGCCUGACGGAGCAACGCCGCGUGAGUGAAGAAGGUCUUCGGAUCGUAAAACUCUGUUAUUAGGGAAGAACAAAUGUGUAAGUAACUAUGCACGUCUUGACGGUACCUAAUCAGAAAGCCACGGCUAACUACGUG
RNAcentral lists this ribosomal RNA (497 nucleotides) under uncultured bacterium. RNAcentral describes it as "partial 16S ribosomal RNA". It matches the Rfam family "Bacterial small subunit ribosomal RNA", at positions 28 to 507 of the family's 1533-position model. The record is from RNAcentral.